GAUCAACCCCAUCAUGGUUCUAUCUUGUACAUCAAAAUCUUCAAAUUUGCUUAUAAUAUUAUAUUAUUUCCUGUAUUUAGGUUUUUUUAAAUUUAAAAUUUGGGAUUGAUUUUAAUUGGGGCUUAGCCCCAUUCUUUUUUUUCCAUAUAGCUUUCCGGGCUAUACUGCUAUCGGGCAGAAAAGCGUUCCGCUUAAUUUUACAAUUUGUAUUUGGGAUGUUUCCGUCCGUGGCUGCAAUAGCUGGCCUUCGCCAGUUGGCUCACUGAUGCUUCUUCGCUGACUUCAGGGCAUUCACAGUCUUUACGUAAUGCGCAGCGCUCGGCGAGCAGGCUGCUCCAAACGUCAUUACGUUCAUCUCGUACACAUCCGGGUCUCGAUCGUCGUUGCCAUCUCUCCAAAGGAAUCGUUGGGAACACCGAUCCUAGGGUCGGAUCAGCACUUGGUGGAACAUCUCCUUGAUGUCACCGUUCAGGGUUUUAACCUGCUUCAGCUCCUCCUCCAAAGCCACAAUCCUUUUCAAAAGGUCCGACGUGAGGGGCUGGCACAUCUCCGGCUCUGAACUCGCAGCUGUGACAGCAGUACUCCUGAGUUGGGACGCUACUGUAGUCACCGUAGUGGCUGGGCUAGAAAUGUCCGCCGCCGCGGCCGGUUUUCUGCUCCACUACUCGCUGGCUGCGGAUCCGCUCGCGCUGCUGUAGGGGUGGCGUCCCCUCCUCUCAGCCGCGAACUCCUCUUGGGGGAAUGCUGCGUACCCAGUGUUCGGCGCUGUCUGCGCUCCUCUAUGUCGCUGUCUGCGACUCCUCUACUGGUACGGGAAUGCUCCUGGCAACUCUCUAGCUGGUCGCCAAGUCGUCCUCCAGCGCAAGUUGCCCUUGCAGGUCCCUAGGGCUGCGAAUAAAAGGAGUUGUCUUGCUUCAUAUGGAGUUGCCUUAAACGACUACCCCACACGCGUAGGUCCGAAGAGAGGGAUACUUCAAGGGCGGCGUGCGCCUGGCGUACGCGCGGUCGUGGUUGACGUUUUAUUCUGAGAACAAUUCAAAUCAGUCUCAUACAUUUCAAGCUUAACUUAGUCUUACCGCAGUGUGCCCUCCUACAAUUCACAAGACAAUGAGAAGCACAUUUUUGGCGGCAUUCACAAUUCCGAUAUUAGUAGGCCCGCACUUCAAGGGCCAAGAAAUCCAUCGAGAUCGGAUAACUUAACAAAUACUAGAUUUCCCAUACAAUACUUAUUCUACCUAUCGACUACAAUGUUCGACCAGCGACAUAAAGUAAACCACUAUUGUAAUCUUACAAUCACAAAGCACUCUGUUAUCUAUGAUGGUCACCAAGCAACAAAGAAUGCCAACACUGGUUCAAAACCGGAACAUGCUGUUACAGCUGCUUGCAGCAACAAAGUCCAAAUAACAGAUGGCAAAUCUACAAAUAAAAAUGGUGAACGCCAAUGGCGUUUUACGGCAUAAACUUGAAGUAACACAGUUCCUGAAUGAAAAUCAUAGCGACUUUAGGCUACUGAUUUUGCAGUGACAUAAAACAUUACCCGCAAUAUAAUAAGCGCCAAGGCGCUUUCAGAGCUGUCGUCAAACCAAUUACUCUUUUUCAAAGCCCAAAAACUACAGAUCGUCUGUGGUUACAAUAUAAAAAGUAUUUAAGCUCACACAUCAAAUUAAUCCCUCAGUUCAACUUUGAAGCGGACAUCGAAUGCUCUACCGAUGCUCUUGAAGAAAUAUUCGCGGAGGCAGUCACUAUCUCAACACCCAUGGCAGCGUCGUUCAAAACGACCACUUCAAAACUAAUCUGCAAUUGAACGGCUAGUCCUAGAGGCGCCUGCGACAUGCUUGGCAAACAGACAGAUCGCCGUCAUCAAAACAACGUCUUAAGAAAUCCAUACGCACACUAAAUCGAGCUUUAAAGCAAGAAACAGAAAAUGCGCAACUCCGGUACUUUAAAAAAAACUUUUGCCAAACAGUACAAAACACCCUCUGUGGAGGGCUCACCCAAAUCUGAGCUCUCCUUCGAAACAAUCCGAUAAGCAAUCUAUCAAGUAGCUGGGUCCGCAGCGACGAAGAUAGAGCCGAAACUUUUGCUUCACAUCUCCGGGACAACUUCCAGGCGAACCCUGCCAUUCCUUUUCUAUUUGUUUGUUCAGCCAAAGAAGACCGCAAAAGUCGUUGGGGAACUGAAACCGAAGAAGGCUUCUGGCGGUAACCAAAUAAACCCAAAAAUGUUCAUUGAACUUCUUAACUCUGCCAUUGAGGUUAUUUGUCAGCUCUUCAAUGCACAGUGGUUGAUUCCAUAGGCCAAAUGUAAAAAAACAGAAGUCCGAAAUCGGUAACUUUUUGUCUUUCAAUUUUUUCCUAAUAGAGCAAUAAAACGAACAGUAUUUUCA
Molecule: long non-coding RNA, 2386 nt
Organism: Drosophila biarmipes
Lineage: Eukaryota; Metazoa; Arthropoda; Insecta; Diptera; Drosophilidae
Exons: 3
Source: RefSeq, a predicted model, not a curated record